RNAcentral lists this unclassified non-coding RNA (353 nucleotides) under soil metagenome. Its description in RNAcentral is "partial contains 5.8S ribosomal RNA, internal transcribed spacer 2, and large subunit ribosomal RNA". The stretch from base 1 to 120 matches the Rfam family "5.8S ribosomal RNA", at positions 35 to 154 of the family's 154-position model. The record is from RNAcentral.
GAUGAAGAACGCAGCGAAAUGCGAUAAGUAAUGUGAAUUGCAGAAUUCAGUGAAUCAUCGAAUCUUUGAACGCACAUUGCGCCCGCCAGUAUUCUGGCGGGCAUGCCUGUUCGAGCGUCAUUACAACCCUCAGGCCCCCGGGCCUGGCGUUGGGGAUCGGCGGAAGCCCACUGCGGGCACAACGCCGUCCCCCAAAUACAGUGGCGGUCCCGCCGCAGCUUCCAUUGCGUAGUAGCUAACACCUCGCAACUGGAGAGCGGCGCGGCCACGCCGUAAAACACCCAACUUCUGAAUGUUGACCUCGAAUCAGGUAGGAAUACCCGCUGAACUUAAGCAUAUCAAUAAGCGGAGGA